Molecule: small nucleolar RNA, 70 nt
Organism: Peromyscus eremicus (cactus mouse)
Lineage: Eukaryota; Metazoa; Chordata; Mammalia; Rodentia; Cricetidae
Product: small nucleolar RNA SNORD19
Exons: 1
Source: RefSeq, a predicted model, not a curated record
GAGGAGAAUAUCUGAGCAGUCUGAUUUUCACUGCAGACUGAUAAGGUCCAAGUCUGACCUCAACAUAGAA